AUUGAACGCUGGCGGCAUGCUUUACACAUGCAGGUCGAACGGUAACAGGCCGCAAGGUGCUGACGAGUGGCGAACGGGUGCGUAAUGCAUCGGAACGUGCCCAGUCGUGGGGGAUAACUACUCGAAAGAGUAGCUAAUACCGCAUACGAUCUAUGGAUGAAAGCGGGGGACCGUAAGGCCUCGCGCGAUUGGAGCGGCCGAUGUCAGAUUAGGUAGUUGGUGGGGUAAAGGCUCACCAAGCCAACGAUCUGUAGCUGGUCUGAGAGGACGACCAGCCACACUGGGACUGAGACACGGCCCAGACUCCUACGGGAGGCAGCAGUGGGGAAUUUUGGACAAUGGGCGCAAGCCUGAUCCAGCAAUGCCGCGUGCAGGAAGAAGGCCUUCGGGUUGUAAACUGCUUUUGUACGGAACGAAACGGCUCUGGUUAAUACCCGGGGCUAAUGACGGUACCGUAAGAAUAAGCACCGGCUAACUACGUG
Molecule: ribosomal RNA, 482 nt
Filed under: uncultured bacterium
Lineage: Bacteria
Description: partial 16S ribosomal RNA
Rfam family: Bacterial small subunit ribosomal RNA
Source: RNAcentral